GAUGAAGAACGCAGCGAAAUGCGAUACUUGGUGUGAAUUGCACAAUCCCGUGAACCAUCGAGUCUUUGAACGCAAGUUGCGCCUCAAGCCAUUAGGUUGAGGGCACGUCUGCCUGGGCGUCACAUAUCGUUGCCUGAUGCCAGUUUCCUCGUGAUGGGUGACUGUGCAGGGCGAAUGAUGGCUUCCCGUGAGCAUUGUUGCCUCAUGGUUGGUUGAAAAUUGAGUCCUUGGUAGGGAGCGCCGUGAUAGAUGGUGGUUGAGUGACGAACGAGACCCAAUCAUGUGAGACCCCUACCGAAUUUGGCCUUCAUGACCCACAUGCGUCUUUGGAACGCUCAUGACGAGACCUCAGGUCAGGCGGGGCUACCCGCUGAGUUUAAGCAUAUCAAUAAGCGGAGGA
RNAcentral lists this unclassified non-coding RNA (400 nucleotides) under soil metagenome. RNAcentral describes it as "partial contains 5.8S ribosomal RNA, internal transcribed spacer 2, and large subunit ribosomal RNA". The stretch from base 1 to 122 matches the Rfam family "5.8S ribosomal RNA", at positions 35 to 154 of the family's 154-position model. The record is from RNAcentral.